This 253-nucleotide ribosomal RNA is filed under the name uncultured prokaryote. Its description in RNAcentral is "partial 16S ribosomal RNA". It matches the Rfam family "Bacterial small subunit ribosomal RNA", at positions 524 to 776 of the family's 1533-position model. The record is from RNAcentral.
UACGUAGGGUGCAAGCGUUAAUCGGAAUUACUGGGCGUAAAGCGUACGCAGGCGGCUCUGCAAGACAGGUGUGAAAUCCCCGGGCCUAACCUGGGAACUGCAUUUGUGACUGCAUAGCUAGAGUCUGUCAGAGGGGGGUGGAAUUCCACGUGUAGCAGUGAAAUGCGUAGAUAUAGGAAGGAACACCAGUGGCGAAGGCGACCACCUGGACUGAUACUGACACUGAGGUGCGAAAGCGUGGGGAGCAAACAGG